This 347-nucleotide ribosomal RNA is filed under the name uncultured bacterium. RNAcentral describes it as "bacterial SSU rRNA". It matches the Rfam family "Bacterial small subunit ribosomal RNA", at positions 917 to 1267 of the family's 1533-position model. The record is from RNAcentral.
GGGCCCGCACAAGCGGUGGAGCAUGUGGCUUAAUUCGAUGCAACGCGAAGAACCUUACCUGGGCUCGAACGCUAUCUGACAGACCCUGAAAGGGGUCCUUCUUCGGACGGAUAGUGAGGUGCUGCAUGGCUGUCGUCAGCUCGUGUCGUGAGAUGUUGGUUAAGUCCCGCAACGAGCGCAACCCCUAUUACUAGUUACCAGCACGUUAUGGUGGGGACUCUAGUGAGACUGCCUGCGCAAGCAGUGAGGAAGGUGGGGACGACGUCAAGUCAUCAUGGCCCUUAUGCCCAGGGCUGCACACGUGCUACAAUGGUCGGUACAAUGGGCUGCCACCUCGCGAGAGGGAG